UUUACAAUGGAGAGUUUGAUCCUGGCUCAGGAUGAACGCUAGCGGCAGGCUUAAUACAUGCAAGUCGUGGGGCAGCAGGUCUGUAGCAAUACAGAUGCUGGCGACCGGCAAACGGGUGCGUAACACGUACGCAACUUACCCAUUACUGGGGAAUAGCCCAGGGAAACUUGGAUUAAUACCCCAUAUUAUAUAGAGUUGGCAUCAAUUUUAUAUCAAAGCUUCGGCGGUAAUGGAUGGGCGUGCGGUUGAUUAGAUAGUUGGCGGGGUAACGGCCCACCAAGUCUACGAUCAAUAGCUGAUGUGAGAGCAUGAUCAGCCACACGGGCACUGAGACACGGGCCCGACUCCUACGGGAG
RNAcentral lists this ribosomal RNA (356 nucleotides) under Bacteroidota bacterium. RNAcentral describes it as "bacterial SSU rRNA". It matches the Rfam family "Bacterial small subunit ribosomal RNA", at positions 1 to 347 of the family's 1533-position model. Lineage: Bacteria; Pseudomonadati; Bacteroidota. The record is from RNAcentral.